CCCGCUGAGUUUAAGCUAGUCAAUAAGCGGAGGAAAAGAACUUACAAGGAUUCCCCUAGUAACGGGCGAGCGAACCGGGA
RNAcentral lists this non-coding RNA (80 nucleotides) under Ipomoea nil (Japanese morning glory). RNAcentral's name for it is "Eukaryotic large subunit ribosomal RNA". It matches the Rfam family "Eukaryotic large subunit ribosomal RNA", at positions 24 to 103 of the family's 3401-position model. Lineage: Eukaryota; Viridiplantae; Streptophyta; Magnoliopsida; Solanales; Convolvulaceae. The record is from Rfam by way of RNAcentral.